UUGCUUUAUACAAUCAUUUCACUGUUGUCGAUUUUCAAAUAUCACAACAAAAGCGAAGAUGUAAAUUUUCCAUCAAAAUCAUAAUAUGUAUCUACGAGCUGACAAUUCCAUCGGCCAGCUGCGAGAAGCGAGCCCGGCACUCGUGUAUGAUGGCCUUGUUGUGCAGCAUGUGGGCUGUCACCACGCUAUUCAGCAGACGCUCCAGUUCCUUCUCCAAACUACUGAGUAUAUCAUUCAACGGCUCACCCUCCGCUGGCAGUUGGGGAGAGGCUUGAUCCUGUUUGGUCGACAAAUCGCCCACGGCCACAUAGCUAUAGGUGUGGCACAGUUCUGGUGCCGAGUUGCUGCGGUGAACCAUGGAUGAUGAAGAAGCCGGUGCCGGCGGAUGCAUAGUUGUGAAAGAAGGCGUAGCGAUUGGAGCCCGCGAUGUAGUCUGUUGUUCAUGCAACUCUGCCUGUCGCUGUUUAAAUGCGAGUUGCUGCGAAAUAUAGUGGAUCUCCUCGUCGAUUACUCGCUCCAACUUGGCGCGAAACUCCUGCUCAUGGGUCUGGACCGUUUGGACGCACUCGGCAUUGCGCAGCGAUACGUUGAUAAGAAUUUCGAUGGUUGCAGGUGACUGUGUGGCCGUCGGCGUGGGUGAGCUGCUCAAGGUCAACUUGACGUGCUUGCCCUGGGUAUAGGCUUCGGCCUCUUGAAUAGACGAAUCAUUGCUGGUGGUGGCCAGACGCGGACGCCUGCCGGUGGAAUCGCCAAUACCACUGUCGCCUGCGCAGUGAAAACUUUCCUCCUGCUCCGCUUCUGGUCGCUCCCGAUCCGUUUGAUCCCUAUUAUUGGCAUCUGUAUCCUUGGGCAGAGCAUGAUUACUGGGUAGAAAGGUGUAGCUGCGGUACAGACCGCUGUCCUGCUCCCGACUGCGCGGCAUAUUGAUGGCUAGGCCACUCAUCAGGGAGUCCAGCUCAUCGAGGCUGUCGUCUAGACCACUGCUGAUGGUGGCGCUGUAGACACGCUGCUUUCGCUUCGGUGGCGUAACUUCCAGCUGAAUGUGCUUCUCAGAGAUAAAGGAUUGCGAUUGCGAUUGGCACUGGGUUGGAUGCGUUGAUGUCACCACAUUGAGCAGCUUGCGGUUGUCCAAGCUCAAUGUUGUGAGAUCUAUGAAGGACACAACCUUCUCGCGCUGCUCGGCCACCCGUUGCCAAAUGGAUCGAUGUUCGGGAUGCAGGAGAAUGGUUGGUGACGUAAUAAGCGGACAAUUGAACCCGAAAUGCGAGAUGGUGCGAUACGGAGUCGAUGAUAAGCCCAAAAUAGAAUGAUUCCUCUCUUCCGGCAAUGAUACAGAUGCCAAGGCAUUGCGUACGGGGGUGCUACUAAUAACGCUGGACUCUUGGGCCAUGAAUCCGGCUCCACUUUCGUUGUGAUGAAUACUCAUAUUGCCAUCGUUAACUGGCGGAUAGUUGUGCUUGCUGACGGGCUCGACCUUGUGUAUAACAUAAACCUUAUGCAUUAAUGGAGCCAUUUUCAUGCAGGCAUACAUGUAUUGGCCAGGCGAAUAAAGGAACGCAUACUUUUG
Molecule: non-coding RNA, 1567 nt
Organism: Drosophila melanogaster (fruit fly)
Lineage: Eukaryota; Metazoa; Arthropoda; Insecta; Diptera; Drosophilidae
Source: Ensembl